CUGGCAGAUGACCCCUAUUGAUUUUCAGGUCACUAGGUCAAAGGUCAAGGUCACAGUGACUCGAAAUAGUAAAACGGUUUCCGGAUGAUAACUCAAGAACGCUUACGCCUAGGAUCAUGAAACUUCAUAGGUACAUUGAUCAUGACUCGCAGAUGACCCCUAUUGAUUUUCAGGUCACUAGGUCAAAGGUCAAGGUCACAGUGACUCGAAACAGAAAAAUGGUUUCCGGAUGAUAACUCAAGAACGCUUACGCCUAGGAUCAUGAAACUUCAUAGGUACAUUGAUCAUGACUCGCAGAUGACCCCUAUUGAUUUUCAGGUCACUAGGUCAAAGGUCAAGGUCACAGUGACUCUACACAAAAAUGGUUUCCGGAUGAUAACUCAAGAACGCUUACGCCUAGGAUCAUGAAACUUCAUAGGUACAUAGAUCAUGACUCGCAGAUGACCCCUAUUGAUUUUUAGGUCACUAGGUCAAAGGUCAAGGUCACGGUGACUCGACACAGUAAAAUGGUUUCCAGAUGAUAACUCAAGAACGCUUACGCCUAGGAUCAUCAAACUUCAUAGGUACAUUGAUCAUGACUGGCAGGUGACCCCUAUAAAUUCUCAGGUCACUAGGUCAAGGUCACAGUGACUCGAAACAGUAAAAUGAUUUCCUGAUAAUAACUCAAGAAUACUUAGGCCUAUGAUCAUGAAACUUCAUAGGUACAUUGAUCAUGACUGGCCGAUGACACCUAUUGAUUUUCAAGUCACUAGGUCAAAGGUCAAGUUCACAGUGACAAAAAACAUAUUCACACAAUGGCUGCCACUACAACUGACAGCCCAUAUGGGGGGCAUACAUGUUUUACAAACAGCCCUUGUUGUAUAAUAAUAUGAGCCAUUUUUAACUUAGACAUGUUCAUAUACAUUUCAUAGGCAGGUUUAUAUUAAAAUCAAAUUGCACAUGAAUAUACCUUGUUCAAAGAAUCCCACCCCUCCCCAAUUGUGAUUGUGUACAGGAUGGGUGGGGUAAAGGUCACUGUUGCUUAAAAUAGCAAAAUGGAUUCCACUUAAUUCUUCCUUCAUUUUUAUUUAAUAUACAAUGAAAAAAUCUGCUCUAUUUAUGAAUAUUGAAUGUAGCUAUUUUAAUUAAACUAAAUUUAUAAAUACCUAAUAUUCAUUUAUCGUUAGAGUUACAUGUCAUUCCUGAGGUCAACAUAAAAUAGAAAAAUUGGAUUCCGUUUAGUAAUUAAACAACUAAUUGAGCUUUUGGCAUGCUACAACAUACACAGAUGGCUCCAAUCUUUAUUUAAGAUUGCAGAUGGGUGUAAGGUCUAUGUUCAUAAAUAUUGAUAAACAGUUUCUGCUCAAUUACUCACUAAAAAUUUAGCUUUUGUAUUGAUACUACCUUUGUUGUACUCGGAAACUUGAAAACAAAUUGAGGAGGUGUAAUUAAACUAACGAUAGUUGCGCAUAGGAUGGGAUCAAGGUCACUGUUACUAAAUUUGGGAAUAUUUGGUUUUCCAAUGAGGCACAUUGGGUCAAAGUCAAGUGUCAAGGUCACUGUAAGUAAAUUAACCAAAAUAGUGUUUACUCAGAAUCAAAAUGCAUGUGCCUCUGAGGAUAUUUUGCAAAUUUGACUAGUUCUAAAUUACUUGGUAGCUAUAUAUAUAUAUAUACAGUUUGGUUUAGAAAAAAAGCUGCAGAAGCUGUGACAAGCACAAGAAAAGACGACCAUGCAAUCCUUUGACAGCUCUUUUGUGUUUUUAAGUUAAUUACAUCUUAAUAUUGGCAAGAAGCAUUUAAUAAAAUAUUGAUAUAACACUGAUAUAUUUGUAUUUUUUUUUUUUAAAUGGUUUUGUUUUUGUUAUUUUUUUUCACUUGUUUGUUUGUUUUUUGUCUAGUUUCUUAUUUAAAUUGCACAAGGUCCCAUUUUUAUUCACUUUGGUUAUUUGUAUGUACAUGUAUGGCAUAAUUAUCGCAAAUAUUCAUUUACACACAUUUGCAGUACACAACAUAUUUUUAUUUUUAGUACUGUACUCCAUAUCAGCGUCAAUAUGAUAUUUUUAUGCCCCCGGAUCGAUAGAUCGGGGGUAUAUUGUUUUUGGCCUGUCUGUCUGUCUUUCUGUCUUUCUUUCUGUCUGUCAUUCUGUCCCAAAACUUUAACCUUACAGUCAAGUUUUGCAAUAACUUUUGAAAUAUUGAACAUAGCAACUUGAUAUUUGGCAUGCAUGUGUAUCUCAUGGAGCUGCACAUUUUGAGUGGUGAAAGGUCAAGGUCAUCCUUCAAGGUAAAAGGUAAAAAAAGCAGCGCAUUAGUGGGCAUUGUGUUUCUGACAAACACAUCUCUUGUUUGUAAUUUAAUGUUAACCUAAUAGUUUUCCUGUUUAAAAAUGGAAAUUAAAUCAUUAAACUUCACUAUGCAGCAAACAGAUAGUUGAAAAUAGGGCAAUACAUUUAAGUCACUAAACACUUAUGACAGAUUUUGAAAUUUAAGGGUUUUAAUAUCAACAUUAAGUUAUCGCAUUUUUUAAUGAUAACUAAUUUGCAUUGUGUUGUAUUUAGUGAGAAGUUUCGUCCAUGUGUGUAUACAUUUUCAUAAUACUGAGUUAAUUAUUUUGUGUCAGAGAUAACUCCAGUUGAUUAUUCACUAGUGACAGAGUUUAUAUCCUUAAGACAGGAGUUUGUGAUUUAGUUAAGUCACGUGUGACAUUAUGAAUAUCCUUGUGGCAGAGUAAGGUCAUUUUCUUGCUUCUUACUGGCAUAGUUUUGUCCAUGACAAAUCUUAACAAGUUUUAAUUGCAUCUUAAUGGAUAUAACAGUCUUUUAAACAUUUGAUCUUUAGUUGCACUGGUUGAGAAAGUGCAAUUUAUUGUGUUAAACUGUCCCGUCACAUGUAUUUAGUAAUAUAUAUUUUAGUUAUGUGUUUUAGUUAGAUCAGGUUACCGGUAGCGCCGUAUGGAAUCCAAUCUAGUUACACCCCUAUGAUAUUGUGCCAUAAUCAAACUUGAUAUCACAAACAAGUAUGCAUUUAAAUAGGAACCUGACGUGUAAAGUACCUGCAUACUGCAUAUAUUAUAUAGUUGAAUAUGUAUUGUGCCAAAUAAAAGAUGCAUCUGCUUUUUGGAAGCAACAUCAAAUUAUAAAAA
This is a long non-coding RNA of Dreissena polymorpha, 3123 nucleotides long. RefSeq lists it as uncharacterized. Lineage: Eukaryota; Metazoa; Mollusca; Bivalvia; Myida; Dreissenidae. The transcript is spliced from 2 exons. The record is from RefSeq and is a predicted model, not a curated record.